UACGUAGGGUGCAAGCGUUGUCCGGAAUUAUUGGGCGUAAAGAGCUCGUAGGCGGCUUGUCGCGUCGGCUGUGAAAGCCCGGGGCUUAACCCCGGAAUUGCGCCUGAAACUACAUGACUAGAGCAUUGGAGAGGGUAGCGGAAUUCACGGUGUAGCAGUGAAAUGCGUAGAUAUCGUGAGGAACACCAGAGGCGAAGGCGGCUACCUGGACAAUUGCUGACGCUCAGGCACGAAAGCGUGGGGAGCAAACAGG
RNAcentral lists this ribosomal RNA (253 nucleotides) under uncultured bacterium. RNAcentral describes it as "partial 16S ribosomal RNA". It matches the Rfam family "Bacterial small subunit ribosomal RNA", at positions 524 to 776 of the family's 1533-position model. The record is from RNAcentral.